ACGCUCGACACCUACGGGAGGCAGCAGUAGGGAAUCUUCCACAAUGGGUGCAAGCCUGAUGGAGCAACACCGCGUGAGUGAAGAAGGGUUUCGGCUCGUAAAGCUCUGUUGUUGGAGAAGAACGUGCGUGAGAGUAACUGUUCACGCAGUGACGGUAUCCAACCAGAAAGUCACGGCUAACUACGUACCAGCAGCCGCGGUAAUCUGAGCGGGCUGGCAAGGC
This 223-nucleotide ribosomal RNA is filed under the name uncultured bacterium. RNAcentral's name for it is "partial 16S ribosomal RNA". It matches the Rfam family "Bacterial small subunit ribosomal RNA", at positions 328 to 539 of the family's 1533-position model. The record is from RNAcentral.